This 221-nucleotide long non-coding RNA is filed under the name Anser brachyrhynchus (Pink-footed goose). Its description in RNAcentral is "lncRNA (ENSABRG00000010825.1)". Lineage: Eukaryota; Metazoa; Chordata; Aves; Anseriformes; Anatidae. The record is from RNAcentral.
GUUCUUGUUUGUUUGUUUGUUUGUUGUUUUUUAAACUCCAAAAUGCAUUAAGCUGUAGGUCACAGUAUUUUUGUCAUUACAGGUGCUUAUAGAUCUACACACAGGAAUGCUUCCUCUUUCAUGCUCUACUCCUUCCCUAUGUUUACAGAGCGGUUUUGUUCUGAGUCUGAAACAAGUCAUCCCAUGAGCUUUGAAGACAUAGUGUACAGGACAGUGAAAUU